Molecule: ribosomal RNA, 945 nt
Filed under: marine metagenome
Description: bacterial SSU rRNA
Rfam family: Bacterial small subunit ribosomal RNA
Source: RNAcentral
AGAGUUUGAUCCUGGCUCAGAACUAACGCUUGUGGUGUGUCUUAGUCAUGCGAGUCGAACGAGAAAGUUCUCUUCGGAGAGCGAGUACAGUGGCGGACGGGUGAGUAACACGUGGGUGAUCUGCCCUUGGGUUGGGAACAACACUUCUAACGAGGUGCUAAUACCGAAUAACAAAGCCGAUUGCGAAAUCAGUUUUUAAAGGUGGCCUCUACUUGUAAGCUGCCGCCUGAGGAUGAGCCCGCGUCGUAUUAGCUUGUUGGUGGGGUAAUGGCCUACCAAGGCAACGAUGCGUAGCCGGCCUGAGAGGGUGAACGGCCACACUGGAACUGAGACAAGGUCCAGUCUCCUACGGGAGCCAGCAGUCUAGAAAUUUGCACAAUCGUCGAAAGGCGGAUGCAGCGACACCACGUGGAGGAUGAAGCCCCUCGGGGUGUAAACUCCUGUCAGUUGGGAAGAAGGCGCGAGUGUUAAUACCACUUGUUGCUUGACGGUACCUUCAGAGGAAGCUCCGGCUAACUACGUGCCAGCAGCCGCGGUAAUACGUAGGGAGCGAGCGUUGUUCGGAUUUACUGGGCGUAAAGAGCACGUAGGCGGGCAUGCAAGUCGGUUGUGAAAUCCUCUGGCUCAACCAGAGAACUGCAAUCGAAACUGCAUGCCUUGAGUCCAGCAGAGGAAAUCGGAAUCUUAGGUGUAGCGGUGAAAUGCGUAGAUAUCUAAGAGAACAUCAGUGGCGAAGGCGGAUUUCUGGGCUGGCACUGACGCUGAGGUGCGAAAGCUGAGGUAGCGAACAGGAUUAGAUACCCUGGUAGUCUCAGCCGUAAACGAUGGGUACUAGGUGUUGGGGGACAUUGACCCCCUCAGUGCCGUAGCUAACGCAUUAAGUACCCCGCCUGGGGAGUACGGCCGCAAGGCUGAAACUCAAAGGAAUUGACGGGGACCCGCACA